UGGGGGGGUCUUUCCAGUCGCUCAGGCACGUCUCGACGUUUCUCCACAGGAUCGUUUCAAGUCCGUCUUCCGCAAUGCUUCUAAACUUUUUUGAAUUCAUUUACCCUAACAAAUUUGAAAUUCUUCAUUUCAUACAUUCCUUGAGAUGUCAUCAAGAUAAAAUAGUCUUAUUAAGACUUAAUUUUUAGUUUAUCUAACUUUCCUCAAGUUACAAAACUUAUUUUAAAAGUGGAAAUUAUCCUUUGAUUCACCACAAAUAUCAUUUACACUUUUUUUUUCUACCCUGCCUAUGUUGUACCGGUAGACACUCUUCCUUGGAAGAUGCCUUUGAGAAGUUCAUGGAACACCAUGCAGAUCCUAACCUAGGAUUUCUGCUUCCUGGCUGAAGGAAAGUAAGGGGCAAUGUAGACAUGAUGGUAAUAAUAAUCGCAAAAAUGCUACCACUACAUUUUUAAUUAAUGUCGGCAUCAAGGAUAGCACUCUCCUUUAUAUAAAGAAAUGUCAAAGUCCUGUGGUUAAUUAUUUAUUGUCAUUAAGUUCGACUAUGCAGUUACCUAUAAGACAUGGAAAGAUCUUUAUAACUGAAGAACACCUCAAAUAAUUUUGUGUUUUCUGAGUUAUCCUCUUCCAUGGAGCAGGAGACGCAUGCGUCUAACUGAAGGGAACGACGUAGAUGAGUGACUUGAGCCGUUAAAGAGUAUUCUCGGUUGGAACACCCCCUACUUUACAGGUCCAGGAAGCAUGAGGGAACACGCUUUAUGGAGAGGUUUUCUGAGCUUCUGCUGUUUGGAGGGGAAUCACUAGACUGGAAAAAAAGUCCCGAGAAAGUACGUGGUGCCUGCUUCUCUCGACACACAGAAGGGGGCGGGGGCUGGUGAGGUAGCAGGACUUGCUCAGGGCCGUGUCUGAUUCGCAAGGCUGCUGAAGAGCUGGGCUGGAGCUGGUGCCUCCUGACUCCCAGCGCGAGCAGCGCCCUUGGCCCAGCGUCCUGCACCCUUCUUCCACUCUCCAGUAUCCGAGAAACCUACCCAGAUGCAAGACGCAAAUACCCUCCUGCAUGGUUUCAAUACAAAAUACACUGGUUUUGCCCUUUUUCGGGGUGGAGAUUUAUUGACUUCAGAAAAUUGGGAUGGUCAAAUCUUCAAAUUGAAAGCCAUAGCGCAAACAAACAGACAGAUUGCUUUAGGAAACUUUCUCUACGCAAGUGCAGCAGAAGCGUAAGUCUCCCGUCUUCCGGGAGAGCAGGUUGGGGCUGCUCCAACAGGACGCACUCAGUGCUUUCCUUUCCCAGAGCAGGCAGAUUGGCAUUGCUCCGCAGCAGUGUCACAGAGCCACAGUCAUUGAAUGCCUCUUCUUGUGAGGCCGGGAUUCCACGCCCAAGUGCAUUUAGUAGGAUUGUCACUGGUCCAGCAUGA
This 1415-nucleotide long non-coding RNA is filed under the name Oryctolagus cuniculus (rabbit). Its description in RNAcentral is "lncRNA (ENSOCUG00000038753.1)". Lineage: Eukaryota; Metazoa; Chordata; Mammalia; Lagomorpha; Leporidae. The record is from RNAcentral.